RNAcentral lists this ribosomal RNA (468 nucleotides) under uncultured bacterium. Its description in RNAcentral is "partial 16S ribosomal RNA". It matches the Rfam family "Bacterial small subunit ribosomal RNA", at positions 28 to 507 of the family's 1533-position model. The record is from RNAcentral.
GACGAACGCUGGCGGCGUGCUUAACACAUGCAAGUCGAACGGAAAGGCCCUGCUUUUGUGGGGUGCUCGAGUGGCGAACGGGUGAGUAACACGUGAGUAACCUGCCCUUGACUUUUGGAUAACUUCAGGAAACUGGGGCUAAUACCGGAUAGGAGCUCCUGCUGCAUGGUGGGGGUUGGAAAGUUUCGGCGGUUGGGGAUGGACUCGCGGCUUAUCAGCUUGUUGGUGGGGUAGUGGCUUACCAAGGCUUUGACGGGUAGCCGGCCUGAGAGGGUGACCGGCCACAUUGGGACUGAGAUACGGCCCAGACUCCUACGGGAGGCAGCAGUGGGGAAUCUUGCACAAUGGGCGGAAGCCUGAUGCAGCAACGCCGCGUGCGGGAUGACGGCCUUCGGGUUGUAAACCGCUUUCGCCUGUGACGAAGCGUGAGUGACGGUAAUGGGUAAAGAAGCACCGGCUAACUACGUG